AACGAACGCUGGCGGCAUGCCUAACACAUGCAAGUCGAACGAGACCUUCGGGUCUUGUGGCGCACGGGUGCGUAACGCGUGGGAACCUGCCCUUAGGUUCGGAAUAACUCCCCGAAAGGGGUGCUAAUACCGGAUAAUGUCUUCGGACCUAAGAUUUAUCGGCUUUGGAUGGGCCCGCGUUGGAUUAGCUAGUUGGUAGGGUAAAAGCCUACCGAGGCGACGAUCCAUAGCUGGUUUGAGAGGAUGAUCAGCCACACUGGGACUGAGACACGGCCCAGACUCCUACGGGAGGCAGCAGUGGGGAAUAUUGGACAAUGGGCGAAAGCCUGAUCCAGCAAUGCCGCGUGAGUGAUGAAGGCCUUAGGGUUGUAAAGCUCUUUUACCCGGGAUGAUAAUGACAGUACCGGGAGAAUAAGCUCCGGCUAACUCCGUG
This 433-nucleotide ribosomal RNA is filed under the name uncultured bacterium. Its description in RNAcentral is "partial 16S ribosomal RNA". It matches the Rfam family "Bacterial small subunit ribosomal RNA", at positions 29 to 507 of the family's 1533-position model. The record is from RNAcentral.